Molecule: long non-coding RNA, 18766 nt
Filed under: Cricetulus griseus (Chinese hamster)
Lineage: Eukaryota; Metazoa; Chordata; Mammalia; Rodentia; Cricetidae
Description: lncRNA (ENSCGRG00015040757.1)
Source: RNAcentral
GUGUUUGUAUUGUGUCUGUGCAGUCCAUGUGUUAGUAGUGUAUGCUUGUGUUGUGUGUGUUUCACAUGUGAACUGUAGUGUAUGCAUGUGCUGUGUGUGCAUUGUGAUUGUGAAUUGUAUGUAUGCGGUUUGUCUGUGCGGUGCAGUGUGUGUGGGGUGUGUGUGUUUGUAGUAUAUGUUUGUACGUUGUAGGUUUUUGUAGUGUAUGGGUGUAGUGUGUGUGUUUGGUGUGUUUGUGGUUACUGUAUGUGUAUGGUUUGUGUGUUUGGUUAGUUUGUGUUUACUGUAUGUGUGUGUAGUGUAUUUUUGUAGUGUAUGUUUGUUGUGUAUGUGUGCAGUGUGUGUGUGUAAUGUAUGUAUGCGUAGUGUUUGUUUGCGUUGUGCUUGUUUGUAUUGUAUUUGUGCAGUCAUGUGAUGGUAUUGUAUAUGUGGGGUGUGUGUGUUUGACGUGUCUCGUGUAGUGUAUAUGUAUGGUGUGUGUGUGCAGUGUGUUUCUGUAUUGUAUGUAUGCGGUGUGUAUGUGCGGUGUGUGUGUGUGGUUUGUGUUUGCGAUGUGUGUUUUUAGUGUGUGUGUGUGUGCGGUGUACGUUUUUGUAAAGUAUGUGUGUAGUGUGUGUUUGUAGUGUAUGUUAGUGUGUAUUUGGGCGGUGUGUGUGUGAAGUGUGUUUUAGAAUUGUUAGUAGUGUAGGUGUGUGGUAUGUGUGUUUGACAUGUGCAGUGUAGUGUAUUUGCGUGGUGUGUGUGUUCAGUUGUUUCUGAAUUGUAUGUAUGCGGUGUUUGUUAGCGGUGUGUGUGUGCAGUGUGUGUCUGCGGGAUGUGUUUGUAGCAUGUUUGUGCGCUGUAGGUUUUUGUAUUGUAUGUGUGUAGUGUGUGUGUUUGGUGUGUUUGUGUUUGCUGGAUGUGUGUAGUGUAUGUGUGUGGUGUAUGUGUGCAGUGUGUGUGCGUUGUGUGUAGUGUACUUUAUGUCUGUGGUGUGUGUGCCGUGUAUGUGUUUGUAGUGUAUGUAUGUGUUGUUUGCGUUUGGUGAGUUUGUGUUUACUGUAUGUGUGUGAUGUGUGUGUAGUGUAUGCUUGUUGUGUAUAUUUGUUGUGUAUGUGUGCGGUGUGUGUGUGUAGUGUAUGUUAGUGUGUAUUUGUGCGGUAUGUGUGUGAAGUGUGUUUUAGAAUUGUAUGUAUGCGGUGUGUGUGAGCGGUGUGUGUGUGCCUUGUGUUGGGUGUGUGUGUGUUUGUAGUAUGUGUGUGUGUGGUGUAGGUUUUUGAAGUGUAUGUGUGUAGUGUGUGUGUUUGACGUGUGUAGUGUAGUGUAUGUGUAUGGUGUGUGUGCAGAGUGUUUCUGUAUUGUAUUAUGCGGUGUGUAUGUGCGGUGUGUGUGUGCGGUGUGUGUGUGAGGUAUGUGUGUUUGUAUUUUGUCUGUGCAGUCCAUGUGUUAGUAGUGUAUGCUUGUGUUGUGUGUGUUUCACAUGUGUACUGUAGUGUAUGUAUGUGCUGUGUGUGCAUUGUGAUUGUGAAUUGUAUGUAUGCGGUGUGUCUGUGCGGUGCAGUGUGUGUGGGGUGUGUGUGUUUGUAGUAUAUGUUUGUCCGGUGUAGGUUUUUGUAGUGUAUGUGUGUAGUGUGGUGUAUGUGUGUGGUGUGUGUGCGGUGUAUGUGUUUGUAGUGUAUGUAUGUGUUGUUUGUGUUUGGUGAGUUUGUGUUUACUGUAUGUGUGUGGUAUUUGUGUAGUGUAUGUUUGUUGUCUAUGUUUGUGGUGUAUGUGUGUGGUGUGUGUGUAUGACGUGUGUAGUAUAGUGUAUGUGUGUGGUGUGGUGUGCAGUGUGCUUGUGUAUUGUAUGUAUGCGGUGUUUGUGUGCAGUGUGUGUGUGGUGUGUGUGAUUGUAGUAUGUGUGUGCACGGUGUAUGUGUUUGUACUGUAUGUGUGUCUUGUGUUUGUUUGGUGUGUUUGUUUUUAUUGUACUGUGUGGUGUGUGUGUGGUGUAUGUGUGGUGUGUACGUGUGCAGUGUGUUCGUGGAGUGAAUGUAUGCGGUGUGGGUGUGCGGUAUGUGUGGGUGGUGUAGAUGUUAGUAGUGUGCGUGUGCGGUGUAUGUGUUUAUAGUGUAUGUGUGAGUUGUGUGUUUGGUGUGUUUGUCUGUGUGUGUGUUGUGUGUGUGUGUGGUGUGUGUUUAGUGUGUUUGUCUCUAUGUGUGCUGUGUGUGUGUGGUGUGUGUGUUUGGUGUGUGUAAUAUAGUGUAUGUGUGUGGUGUGUAUGUGUGUAGUGUGUGUGGUGUAUGUGUGCAGUGCGUUUGUGUAGUUUCUGUAUGCUGUGUGUGUUUGAGGCUUGUGUGUGCGGUGUGUAUGUUUGUAGUGUGUUCUGCGUUGUAUAUGUGUAUAGUGUACGUGUGUAUGUAUGUAUGUAUGCGUUAAGUGUGUGUGCGAUGUGCGUGUUUGUAUUGUGUGUGUGUGUGUGUAGUCAAUGUAUGCGGUGUGUGUGGGGGGGUAUCUGUUUGCGGUGUGUAUAUUUGUACUGUGUGUGUGCGUUUUCUAUGUUUAUACUGUGUGUGGUGUGUGUGGUGUGUUUGGUUUUGUAGUAUUGUGAGGUGUGUAUGUGUGCUGUGUUUCUGCAGUGUAUGUGUUUGUUGUUGUAUAUGUGUUGUGUGUUAUUUGGUAUGUGUGUGUAAUGUGUGUGUGUUAGGUGUGUGUAGUGUAAUGUAUGUGUGUGGUGUGUGUGGUGUAUGUGUUUGUAGUGUAUAUGUGUGUUGUGUGUGUUUGGUGAGUUUGGUGUGUGUGAGUAGAGUCUUUUUAUAGUGUAUAUUUGUGGUGAAUGUGUGAGGUGUAUGUGUUUGUUGUAUGUGUGUGGUGUGUUAUUUGUUAUGUGUGUGUAGCGUGUGUGUUUUGUGUGUGUUUGGUGUGUGUAGUGUAAUGUAUGUGUGUGGUGUGUGUGUGCAGUGUGUGUUUGUAGUGUAUGUUUGUUGUGUAUGUGUACAGUGUGUUGUGUGUGUUUGGUGAGUUUGUGUUUCCUGUUAGUGUGGUGUAUAUUGUAGUGUAUGUUAGUUUUGUAUGUGUGCAUUGUGCGGAGUGUUUCUGUGCGUUUUGUGCGUGUUUGUGUUGUAUGUGUGCAGUCCAUGUGAUGGUAUUGUAUGUGUGUGGUGUAUGUGUUUGACGUGUGUAGUGUAGUGUAGUGUAUGUGUAUGGUGUGUGUGUGCAGUGUGUUUCUGUAUUGUAUGUAAGCGGUGUGUAUGUGCGGUGUGUGUGUGCGGUGUGUGUUUUUAGUGUGUGUGGGUGCGGUGUAGGUUUUUGUAGAAUAUUGUGUAGUGUGUGUGUGUGUAGUUUAUAUUUGUAGUGUAUGUUUGUGGUGUAUUUGUGCGGUGUGUGUGUGUUUUGUGUAUGUAUGCGGUGUGUGUGAAUUUGCGGUAUGUGUUUGUAUUGUGUGUGUGCUGACCAUGUAUUAGUAGUGUAGGUGUGUGGUGUGUGUGUUUGACAUGUGCAGUGUAGUGUAUUUGCGAGGUGUGUGUGUGCAGUUGUUUCUGAAUUGUAUGUAUGCGGUGUUUGUGACCGGUGUGUGUGUGCAGUGUGUGUCUGAGGGGUGUGUUUGUAGCAUGUUUGUGCGCUGUAGGUUUUUGUAUUGUAUGUGUGUAGUGUGUGUGUUUGGUGUGUUUGUGUUUGCUGGAUGUGUGUAGUAUAUGUGUGUGGUGUGUGUGUGCAGUGUGUGUGUGCGGUGUGUGUAGUGUAGUGUAUGUGUGUGGUGUGUGUGCCGUGUAUGUGUUUGUAGUGUAUGUGUGUUUUGUUUGCGUUUGGUGAGUUUGUGUUUACUGUAUGUGUGUGAUGUGUGUGUAGUGUAUGCUUGUUGUGUAUGUUUGUUGUGUAUGUGUGCGGUGUGUGUGUGUUUUGUAUGUAUGCGGUGUGUGUGUGAGGUAUGCGUGUUUGUAUUGUGUCUGUGCAGUCCAUGUGUUAGUAGUGUAUGCUUGUGUUGUGUGUGUUUCACAUGUGUACUCUAUUGUAUGUAUGUGCUGUGUGUGCAUUGUGAUUGUGAAUUGUAUGUAUGCGGUGUGUCAGUGCGGUGCAGUGUGUGUGGGGUGUGUGUGUUUGUAGUAUAUGUGUGUGCGGUGUAGGUUUUUGUAGUGUAUGUGUGUAGUGUGUGUGUUUGGUGUGUUUGUGGUUACUGUAUGUGUGUGGUGUGUGUGUUUGGUUAGUUUGUGUUUACUGUAUGUGUGUGUAGUGUAUUUUUGUAGUGUAUGUUUGUUGUGUAUGUGUGCAGUGUGUGUGUGUAAUGUAUGUAUGUGGAGUGUUUGUGUGCGUUGUGCGUGUUUGUAUUGUAUUUGUGCAGUCAUGGGAUGGUAUUGUAUAUGUGGGGUGUGUGUGUUUGACGUGUCUCGUGUAGUGUAUAUGUAUGGUGUGUGUGUGCAGUGUGUUUCUGUAUUGUAUGUAUGCGGUGUGUAUGUGCGGUGUGUGUGUGCGGUGUGUGUUUGCGAUGUGUGUUUUUAGUGUGUGUUUGUGUGUGCGGUGUAGGUUUUUGUAAAGUAUGUGUGUAGUGUGUGUGUGUAGUGUAUGUUAGUGUGUAUUUGUGCGGUAUGUGUGUGAAGUGUGUUUUAGAAUUGUAUGUAUGCGGUGUGUGUGAGCAGUGUGUGUUUGCCUUGUGUUGGGUGUGUGUGUGUUUGUAGUAUGUGUGUGUGUGGUGUAGGUUUUUGAAGUGUAUGUGUGUAGUAUGUGUGUUUGAUGUGUGUAGUGUAGUGUAUGUGUAUGGUGUGUUUGCAGAGUGUUUCUGUAUUGUAUUAUGCGGUGUGUGUGUGCGGUGUGUGUGUGCGGUGUGUGUGUGCGGUGUGUGUGUGCGGUGUGUGUUUUUAAUGUGUGUGUUUGCGGUGUAGGUUUUUUUAGAGUAUGUGAGUAGUGUGUUUGUUUAGUGUGUGUGUAGUGUAUGUUUGUGGUGUAUUUACUCAGUGUGUGUGUGCAGUGCAUUUGUGAAUUGUAUGUAUGCGGUGUGUGUGAGCGGUGUGUGUGAAGUGUGUGUGUGCGGUGUGUGUUUGUAGUAUGUGUGUGCGGUGUAGGUUUUUGUUGUCUAUGUGUGUAGUGUGUGUGUUUGGUGUGUUUGUGUUUGCUGGUUGUGUGUGUUGGGUAUGUGUGUGGUGUGUGUGUGCAGAUGUGUGCAGUGUGUAUAGUGUAGUGUAUUGUGUGGUGUGUGUGCGGUGUAUGUGUUUGUAGAGUAUGUGUGUGUUGUUUGUGUUUGGUGAGUUUGUGUUUACUGUAGGUGUGGUGUUUGUGUAGUGUAUGUUUGAUGUGUAUGUUUGUGGUGUAUCUGUGCCGUGUGAGUGUGUGUUCUGUGUAUGUAUGUGUUUGAGUGUGUGAGGUAUGCUUGCUUGUAUUGUGUCUGUGCAGUCCAUGUGUUAAUAGUGUAUGUGUGUGGUGUGUGUGUAUGAUGUAUGUAGUAUAGUGUAUGUGUGUGGUGUGUGUGUGCAGUGUGCUUUUGUAUUGUAUGUAUGCGGUGUUUGUGUGCAGUGUGUGUGCGGUGUGUUUGAUUGUAGUAUGUGUGUGUACGGUAUGUGUGUGUUGUGUUUGUUUGGUGUGUUUGUAUUUACUGUAUGUGUGUGGUGUGUGUGUGGUGUAUGUGUUGGGUGUAUUGUGCAGUGUGUUUGUGGAGUGAAUGUAUGCGGUGUGUGGGUGCGGUAUGUGUGUGCGGUGUGGAUGUUUGUAGUGUGUCUGUGCGGUGUAUAUUUUAUAAUGUAUAUGUGAGGUGUGUGUUUGGUGUGUUUGUCUUUACUGUAUGUGUGUUGUGUGUGUGUGGUGUGUUUAAUAUAGAGUAUGUGUGUGGUCUCUGUGUGUAGUCUAUGUGUGCAGUGCGUUUCUGUAGUUUAUGUAUGCUGUGUGUGUGUGCGGUAAGUGUGUGCGGUGUGUAUGUUCGUCGUGUGUUGUGCUUUGUAUAUGUGUAUAGUGUAUGCGUUAUGUGUGUGUGCGAUGUGCGUGUUUGUAUUGUGUGUGCAUUCCAUGUGAUGGUAGUGUAUGUGUGUGGUGUUUGCGUUUGACGUGUGUAGUGUAGUGUAUGUGUGUGGUGUGUGUGCCGUGUAUGUGUUUGUAGUGUAUGUGUGUGUUGUUUGCGUUUGGUGAGUUUGUGUUUACUGUAUGUGUGUGAUGUGUGUGUAGUGUAUGCUUGUUGUGUAUGUUUGUUGUGUAUGUGUGCGGUGUGUGUGUGUUUUGUAUGUAUGCGGUGUGUGUGUGAGGUAUGCGUGUUUGUAUUGUGUCUGUGCAGUCCAUGUGUUAGUAGAGUAUGCUUGUGUUGUGUGUGUUUCACAUGUGUACUGUAGUGUAUGUAUGUGCUGUGUGUGCAUUGUGAUUGUGAAUUGUAUGUAUGCGGUGUGUCAGUGCGGUGCAGUGUGUGUGGGGUGUGUGUGUUUGUAGUAUAUAUGUGUGCGGUGUAGGUUUUUGUAGUGUAUGUGUGUAGUGUGUGUGUUUGGUGUGUUUGUGGUUACUGUAUGUGUGUGGUGUGUGUUUGGUUAGUUUGUGUUUACUGUAUGUGUGUGUAGUGUAUUUUUGUAGUGUAUGUUUGUUGUUUAUGUGUGCAGUGUGUGUGUGUAAUGUAUGUAUGCGGAGUGUUUGUGUGCGUUGUGCGUGUUUGUAUUGUAUUUGUGCAGUCAUGUGAUGGUAUUGUAUAUGUGGGCUGUGUGUGUUUGACGUGUCUCGUGUAGUGUAUAUGUAUGGUGUGUGUGUGCAGUGUGUUUCUGUAUUGUAUGUAUGCGGCGUGUAUGUGCGGUGUGUGUGUGUGGUGUGUGUUUGCGAUGUGUGUUUUUAGUGUGUGUGUGUGUGCGGUGUAGGUUUUUGUUGUGUAUGUGUGUAGUGUGUGUGUUUGGUGUGUUUGUGUUUGCUGGAUGUGUGUGUUGUGUAUGUGUGUGGUGUGUGUGUGCAGUGUGUGUGUGCGGUGUGUGUAGUGUAGUGUAUGUGUGUGGUGUGUGUGCCGUGUAUGUGUUUGUAGUGUAUGUGUGUGUUGUUUGCGUUUGGUGAGUUUGUGUUUACUGUAUGUGUGUGAUGUGUGUGUAGUGUAUGCUUGUUGUGUAUGUUUGUUUUGUAUGUGUGUGGUGUGUGUGUGUAGUGUAUGUCAGUGUGUAUUUGUGCGGUGUGUGUGUGAAGUGUGUUUUAGAAUUGUAUGUAUGCGGUGUGUGUGAGCGGUGUGUGUGUGCCUUGUGUUGGGGGUGUGUGUGUUUGUAGUAUGUGUGUGUGUGGUGUAGGUUUUUGAAGUGUAUGUGUGUAGUGUGUGUGUUUGACGAGUGUAGUGUACUGUAUGUGUAUGGUGUGUGUGCAGAGUGUUUCUGUAUUGUAUUAUGCGGUGUGUGUGUGCGGUGUGUGUGUGCGGUGUGUGUUUUUAAUGUGUGUGUUUGCGGUGUAGGUUUUUGUAGAGUAUGUGAGUAGUGUGUUUGUUUAAUGUGUGUGUAGUGUAUGUUUUUGGUGUAUUUAUUCGGUGUGUGUGUGCAGUGCAUUUGUGAAUUGUAUGUAUGCGGUGUGUGUGAGCGGUGUGUGUGAAGUGUGUGUGUGUGGUGUGUAUGUUUGUAGUGUGUUGUGCGUUGUAUAUGUGUAUAAUGUAUGUGUGUUGUUGGUGUGUGUAGUGUAUGUAUGCGUUAAGUGUGUGUGCGAUGUGCGUGUUUGUAUUGUGUGUGCAUUCCAUGUGAUGGUAGUGUAUGUGUGUGGUGUUUGCGUUUGACGUGUUUAGUGUAGUGUAUGUGUGUGGUGUGUGUUUGCAACGUGUUUCUGUAUUGUAUGUAUGCAGUGUCUGUGUGCGUUGUUUGUGUGCGGUGUUUGUGUUUGUAGUGUGUGUGUUUGCGGUGUAGGUUUUUGGAGUGUAUGUGUGUAGUGAGUGUGUUUGGUGUGUUUUUUGAUGUAUGUUUGUGCAGUGUGAGAAGUGUAAGUUUAUGAAGCAUGCGUUGUGUGUGUGUUUGCUUGUGUGCGGUGUGUGUGUGUAGUGCAUGUGUGAGGUGUAUGUUUGCAGUGUGUUUGUUUAGUCAAUGUAUGCGGUGUGUGUGUGGCGGGAGUCUGUUUGCGGUGUGUAUAUUUGUACUGUGUGUUUGCGAUUUCGAUGUUUAUAAAGUAAGUGUGUGGUGUGUGUGUUUGGUGUGUUUGGGUUUAUUGUAUGUGUGAGGUGUGUGUGUGUGCUGUGUUUUUGCGGUGUAUGUGUUUAUUGUUGUAUGUGUGUGGUGUGUUAUUUGGUAUGUGUGUGUGUGUUGUGUGUGUUUGGUGUGUGUAGUGUAAUGUAUGUGUGUGGUGUGUGUGGUGUUUGUGUUUGUAGUGUAUAUGUGUGUUGUGUGUGUUUGGUGAGUUUGAUUUUACUCUAUGUUUGUGAGUAGUGUCUUUUUGUAGUGUAUGUUUGUGGUGUAUGUGUGCGGAGUAUGUUUGUUGUUGUAUGUGUGUGGUGUGUUAUUUGUUAUGUGUGUGUAGCGUGUGAGUUCUGUGUGUGUUUGGUGUGUGUAGUGUAAUGUAUGUGUGUGGUGUGUGUGUGCAGUGUGUGUGUUUGUAAUGUAUGUAUGUUUGUUGUGUAUGUGUACAGUGUGUUGUGUGUGUUUGGUGAGAUUGGGUUUCCUGUUUGUGUGGUGUAUUUUGUAGUGUAUGUUUGUUUUGUAUGUGUGCAGUGUGCGGAGUGUUUGUGUGCGUUUUGUGCGUGUUUGUAUUGUAUGUGUGCAGUCCAUGUGAUGGUAUUGUAUGUGUGUGGUGUAUGUGUUUGUCAUGUGUAGUGUCGUGUAUGUGUAUGGUGUGUGUGUGCAAUGUGUUUCUGUAUUGUAUGUAAGCCUUGUGUAUGUGCGGUGUGUGUGUGCGUUGUGUGUUUUUAGUGUGUGUGGGUGCGGUGUAGGUUUUUGUAGAGUAUUGUGUAGUGUGUGUGUGUAGUGUAUGUUUUUAGUGUAUGUUUGUGGUGUAUUUGUGCGGUGUGUGUGUGAGGUAUGCGUGUUUGUAUUGUGUCUGUGCAGUCCAUGUGUUAGUUGUGUAUGUUUGUUGUGUAUGUGUUUGACAUGUGUACUGUAGUGUAUGUGUGUGCUGUGUGUGUGCAUUGUGAGUGUGAAUUGUAUGCAUGCGGUGUGUCUGUGCGGUGCAGUGUGUCUGGGGUGUGUGUGUUUGUAGUAUAUGUGUGUGCGGUGUAGGUUUUUGUAGUGUAUGUGUGUAGUGUGUGUGUUUGGUGUGUUCGUGGUUACUGUAUGUGUGUGGCGUGUGUGUUUGGUGUGUUUGUGUUUGCUGGAUGUAUGUGGUGUAUGUGUGGUGUGUGUGUGCAGUGUGUGUGUGCGGUGUGUAUAGUGUGGUGUAUGUGUGUGGUGUGUGUGCGGUGUAUGUGUUUGCAGUGUAUGUGUGUGUUGUUUGUGUUUGGUGAGUUUGUGUUUAUCGUAUGUGUGUGGUAUUUGUCUAGUGUAUGUUUGUUGUGUAUGUUUGUGGUGUAUGUGUGUGGUGUGUGUGUAUGACGUGUGUAAUAUAGUAUAUGUGUGUGGUGUGUGUGCAGUGUGUGUGCGGUGUGUGUGAUUGUAGUAUGUGUGUGCACUGUUUAUGUGUUUGUACUGUAUGUGUGUUUUGUGUUUGUUUGGUGUGUUUGUUUUUACUGUAUGUGUGUGGUGUGUGUGUGGUGUGUGUGGGGGGUGUAUGUGUGCAGUGUGUUUGUGGAGUGAAUGUAUGCGUUGUGGGUGUGUGGUAUGUGUGGGCGGUGUAGAUGUUUGUAGUGUGCGUGUGCGGUGUAUGUGUUUAUAGUGUAUGUGUGUGGUGUGUGUUUGGUGUGUUUGUGGGUGUGUUGUGUGUGUGUGUGUGUGGUGUGUGUUUGGUGGGUUUGUCUCUAUGUGUGCUGUGUGUGUGUGUGGUGUGUGUGUUUGGUGUGUGUAAUAUAGUGUAUGUGUGUGGUGUGUAUGUGUGUAGUGUGUGUGGUGUAUGUGUGCAGUGCGUUUGUGUAGUUUCUGUAUGCUGUGUGUGUGUGAGGCUUGUGUGUGCAGUGUGUAUGUUUGUAGUGUGUUGUGCGUUGUAUAUGUGUAGUGUAUGUGUGUUGUGUGUGUGUAGUGGAUGUAUGCGUUAAGUGUGUGUGCGAUGUGCGUGUUUGUAUUUUGUGUGUGCAUUCCAUGUGAUGGUAGUGUAUGUGUGUGGUGUGUGUGUGCAACGUGUUUCUGUAUUGUAUGUAUUCAGUGUGUGUGUGCGUUGUUUGUGUGCGGUGUCUGGGUUUGUAGUGUGUGUGUUUGCGGUGUAGCUUUUUGUAGUGUAUGUGUGUAGUGCGUGUGUUUGGUGUGGUUUUUUAUGUAUGUUUGUGCUGUGUGAGAAGUGUAAGUUUAUAAAGCAUGCGUUGUGUGUGUGCUUUUCUUGCGUGCGAAGACACAGUAGUGCAUGUGUGAGGUGUAUGUGUGCAGUGUGUGUGUAGUCAAUGUAUGCGGUGUGUGUGUGGUUAUCUGUUUGCGGUGUGUAUAUUUGUACUGUGUGUGUGCGAUUUCGAUGUUUAUACUGUGUGUGGUGUGUGUGGUGUGUUUGGUUUUAUAGUAUGUGUGAGGUGUGUAUGUGUGCUGUGUUUUUGCGGUGUAUGUGAUUGUUUUUGUAUGUGUGUUGUGUGUUAUUUGGUAUGUGUGUGUAAUAUGUGUGUGUUGUGUUUGUUUGGUGCGUGUAGUGUAAUGUAUGUGUGUGGUGUGUGUGGUGUAUGUGUUUGUAGUGUAUAUGUGUGUUGUGUGUGUUUGGUGAGUUUGAGUUUACUCUAUGUGUGUGAGGAGUGUCUUUUUGUAGUGUAUGUUUGUGGUGUAUGUGUGAGGUGUAUGUGUUUGUUGUAUGUGUGUGGUGUGUUAUUUGUUAUGUUGUGUAGCGUGUGUGUUUUGUGUGUGUUUGGUGUGUAUAGUGUAAUGUAUGUGUGUGUUGUGUGUAUGCAGUGUGUGUGUUUGUAGUGUAUGUUUGUUGUGUAUGUGUACAGUGUGUUGUGUGUGUUUGGUGAGUUUGUGUUUCCUGUUAGUGUGGUGUAUUUUGUAGUGUAUGUUUGUUUUGUAUGUAUGCAGUGUGCGGAGUGUUUCUGUGCGUUUUGUGCGCGUUUUAUUGUAUGUGUGCAGUCCAUGUGAUGGUAUUGUAUGUGUGUGGUGUAUGUGUUUGACGUGUGUAGUGUAGUGUGUGUAUGGUGUGUGUGUGCAAUAUGUUUCUGUAUUGUAUGUAAGUGGUGUGUAUGUGCGGUGUGUGUGUGCGGUGUGUGGUUUUAGUGUGUGGGUGCGGGGUAGGUUUUUGUAGAGUAUUGUGUAGUGUGUGUGUGUAGUGUAUGUUUGUAGUGUAUGUUUGUGGUGUAUUUGUGCGGUGUGUGUGUUUUGUGUAUGUAUGCGGUGUGUGUGUAUUUGCGGUGUGUGUGUUUGUAUUGUGUGUGUGCAGACCAUGUAUUAGUAGUGUAGGUGUGUGGUGUGUGUGUUUGACAUGUGUAGUGUAGUGUAUUUGCGUGGUGUGUGUGUGCAGUUGUUUCUGAAUUGUAUGUAUGCGGUGUUUGUGAGCGGUGUGUGUGUGCAGUGUGUGUCUGCGGGGUGUGUUUGUAGCAUGUUUUUGCGCUGUAGGUUUUUGUAGUGUAUGUGUGUAGUGUGUGUGUUUGGUGUGUUUGUGUUUGCUGGAUGUGUGUAGUGUAUGUGUGUGGUGUUUGUGUGCAGUGUGUAUGUGAGGUGUGUGUAGUGUAGUGUAUGUGUGUGGUGUGUGUGCCGUGUAUGUGUUUGUAGUGGAUGUGUGUGUUGUUUGUGUUUGGUGAGUUUGUGUUUACUGUAUGUGUGUGAUGUGUGUGUAGUGUAUGCUUGUUGUGUAUGUUUGUUGUGUAUGUGUGCGGUGUGUGUGAGGUAUGCGUGUUUGUAUUGUAUCUGCGCAGUCCAUGUGUUAGUAGUGUAUGCUUGUGGUGUGUGUGUUUGACAUGUGUCUGUAGUGUAUGUGUGUGCUGUGUGUGCAUUGUGAUUGUGAAUUGUAUGUAUGCGGUGUGUCUGUGCGGUGCAGUGUGUGUGGGAUGUGUGUUUGUAGUAUAUAUGUGUGCGGUGUAGGUUUUUGUAGUGUAUGUGUGUAGUGUGUGUGUUUGGUGUGUUUGUGGUUACUGUAUGUGUGUGGUGUGUGUGUUUGGUUAGUUUGUGUUUACUGUAUGUGUGUGUAGUGUAUUUUUGUAGUGUAUGUUUGUUGUGUAUGUGUGCAGUGUGUGUGUGUAAUGUAUGUAUGCGGAGGGUUUGUGUGCAUUGUGCGUGUUUGUAUUGUAUGUGUGCAGUCAUGUGAUGGUAUUGUAUAUGUGGGGUGUGUGUGUUUGACGUGUCUAGUGUAGUGUAUAUGUAUGGUUUGUGUGUGCAGUGUGUUUCUGUAUUGUAUGUAUGCUGUGUGUAUGUGCGGUGUGUGUGCGGUGUGAGUGUGUGCGAUGUGUGUUUUUAGUGUGUGUGUGUGCGGUGUAGGUUUUUGUAAAGUAUGUGUGUAGAGUGUGUGUGUAGUGUAUGUUAGUGUGUAUUUGUGCUGUGUGUGUGAAGUGUGUUUUUGAAUUGUCUGUAUGCGGUUUGUGUGAGCAGUGUGUGUGUGCCUUGUGUUGGGGGUGUGUGUGUUUGUAGUAUGUGUGUGUGUGGUGUAGGUUUUUGAAGUGUAUUGUGUAGUGUGUGUGUUUGACUUGUGUAGUGUAGUGUAUGUGUAUGGUGUGUGUGCAGAGUGUUUCUGUAUUGUAUUAUGCGGUGUGUAUGUGCGGUGUGUGUGUGCGGUGUGUGUGUGCGGUGUGUGUUUUUCAUGUGUGUGUGUGCGGUGUAGGUUUUUGUAGAGUAUGUGAGUAGUGUGUUUGUUUAGUGUGUGUGUAUUGUAUGUUUGUGGUGUAUUCAUUCGGUGUGUGUGUGCAGUGCAUUUGUGAAUUGUAUGUAUGUGGUGUGUGUGAGCGGUGUGUGUGUGAAGUGUGUGUGUGCGGUGUGUUUGUGUUUGCUGGAUGUGUGUGUUGUGUAUGUGUGUGGUGUGUGUGCAGAUGUGUGCAGUGUGUAUAGUGUAGUGUAUGUGUGUGGUGUGUGUGCGGUGUAUGUGUUUGUAGUGUAUGUGUGUGUUGUUUGUGUUUGGUGAGUUUGUGUUUACUGUAUGUGUGUGUUGUUUGUGUAGUGUAUGUUUGAUGUGUAUGUUUGUGGUGUAUCUGUGCCGUGUGAGUGUGUGUUCUGUUUAUGUAUGUGUUUGAGUGUGUGAGGUAUGCUUGCUUGUAUUGUGUCUGUGCAGUCCAUGUGUUAAUAGUGUAUGUGUGUGGUGUGUGUGUAUGAAGUGUGUAGUAUAGUGUAUGUGUGUGGUGUGUGUGUGCAGUGUGCUUGUGUAUUGUAUGUAUGCGGUGUUUGUGUGCAGUGUGUGUGCGGUGUGUUUGAUUGUAGUAUGUGUGUGUACGGUAUGUGUGUGUUGUGUUUGUUUGGUGUGUUUGUGUUUACUGUAUGUGUGUGGUGUGUGUGUGGUGUAUGUGUUGGGUGUAUUGUGCAGUGUGUUUGUGGAGUGAAUGUAUGCGGUGUGUGGGUGCGGUAUGUGUGUGCAGUGUGGAUAUUUGUAGUGUGCCUGUGCGGUGUAUGUGUUUAUAGUGUAUAUGUGUGGUGUAUUUUUGGUGUUUUUGUCUUUACUGUAUGUGUGUUGUGUGUGUGUGGUGUGUUUAAUAUAGUGUAUGUUUGUGGUCUGUGUGUGUCGUGUAUGUGUGCAGUGCGUUUCUGUAGUUUAUGUAUGCUGUGUGUGUGUGCGGUAUGUGUGUGCGGUGUGUAUGUUGGUAGUGUGUUGUGCGGUGUAUAUGUGUAUAGUGUAUGUGUAUUGUGUGUGUGUGUAGUGUAUGUAUGCAUUAUGUGUGUGUGCGAUGUGCGUGUUUGUAUUGUGUGUGCAUUCCAUUUGAUGGUAGUGUAUGUGUGUGGUGUGUGCGUUUGACGUGUGUAGUGUAGUGUAUGUGUGUGGUGUGAGUGUGUGCAACGUGUUUCUGUAUUGUAUGUAUGCAGUGUGUGUGUGCGUUGUUUGUGUGCGGUGUCUGGGGAUGUAGUGCGUGUGUUUGUGGUGUAGGUUUUUGUAGUGUAUGUGUGUAGUGCGUGUGUUUGGUGUGUUUUUUGAUGUAUGUGUAUGUGUGUGCUGUGUGUGUGCAUUGUGAUUGUGAAUUGUAUGUAUGCGGUGUGUCUGUGCGGUGCAGUGUGUGUGGUGUGAGUGUGUGCAACGUGUUUCUGUAUUGUAUGUAUGCAGUGUGUGUGUGCGUUGUUUGUGUGCGGUGUCUGGGGAUGUAGUGCGUGUGUUUGUGGUGUAGGUUUUUGUAGUGUAUGUGUGUAGUGCGUGUGUUUGGUGUGUUUUUUGAUGUAUGUGUAUGUGUGUGCUGUGUGUGUGCAUUGUGAUUGUGAAUUGUAUGUAUGCGGUGUGUCUGUGCGGUGCAGUGUGUGUGGGGUGUGUGUGUUUGUAGUAUAUGUGUGUGCAGUGUACGUUUUUGUAGUGUAUGUGUGUAGUGUGUGUGUUUGGUGUGUUUGUGGUUACUGUAUUUGCGUGGUGUGUGUGUUUGUUGUGUUUGUGUUUGCUGGAUGUGUGUGGUGUAUGUGUGGUGUGUGUGUGCAGUGUGUGUGUGAGGUGUGUGUAGUGUGGUGUAUGUGUGUGGUGUGUGUGCGGUGUAUGUGUUUGUAGUGUAUGUGUGUGUUGUUUGUGUUUGGUGAGUUUGUGUUUAUCGUAUGUGUGUGGUAUUUGUCUAGUGUAUGUUUGUUGUGUAUGUUUGUGGUGUAUGUGUGUGGUGUGUGUGUAUGACGUGUGUAGUAUAGUAUAUGUGUUUGGUGUGUGUGUUUGGUGUGUUUGUGUUUGCUGGAUGUGUCUGGUGUAUGUGUGUAGUGUCUGUUUGCAGUGUGUGUGUGUGCGGUGUGUGUAGUGUUGUAUAUGUGUGUGGUGUGUGUGCCGUGUAUGUGUUUGUAGUGUAUGUGGGUGUUGUUUGUGUUUGGUGAGUUUGUGCUUACUGUAUGUGUGUGGUAUUUGUGUAGUGUAUGUUUGUUGUGUAUGUUUGUGGUGUAUUGUGUGGUGUGUGUGUAUGACGUGUGUAGUGUAGUGUAUGUGUGUGGUGUAUGUGUGCAGUGUGCUUGUGUAUUGUAUGUAUGCGGUGUUUGUGUGCAGUGUGCGUGCGGUGUGUGUGAUUGUAGUAUGUGUGUGUACGGUGUAUGUGUUUGUACUGUAUGUGUGUUUUGUGUUUGUUUGGUGUGUUUGUGUUUACUGUAUGUGUGUGGUGUGUGUGUGGUGUAUGUGUGGGGUGUAUGUGUGCAGUUCGUUUGUGUAGUUUCUGUAUGCUGUGUGUGUGUUAGGUAUGCAGUGUGGGUUUGCCGUAUGUGAGUGUGGUGUAGAUGUUUGUAGUGUGCGUGUGCGGUGUAUGUGUUUAUAGUGUAUGUGUGAGGUAUGUGUUUGGUGUGUUUGUGUGUGUGUUGUGUGUGUCUGUGUGUUGUGUGUGUGGUGUGUGUGUUUGGUGUGUGUAAUAUAGUGUAUGUGUGUGGUGUGUAUGUGUGUGGUGUAUGUGUGCAGUUCGUUUGUGUAGUUUCUGUAUGCUGUGUGUGUGUGUGUGAGGUAUGUGUGUGCAGUAUGUAUGUUUGUUGUGUGUUGUGUGGUGUAUAUGUGUAUAGUGUAUGUGUAUCAUGUGUGUGUGUGUGUAGUGUAUGUAUGCGUUAUAUGUGUGUGCGAUGUGCGUGUUUGUAUUGUGUGUGUGCAUUCCAUGUGAUGGUAGUGUAUGUGUGUGGUGUGUGUGUUUGACGUGUGUAGUGUAGUGUAUGUAUACAGUGUGUGUGUGCGUUGUUUGUGUGCGGUGUCUGUUUGUUGUGUGUGUUUGUGGUGUAGAUUUUUGUAGUGUAUGUGUGUAGUGCGUGUAUUUGGAGUGUUUUUUGAUGUAUGUUUGUGCAGUGUGAGAAGUGUAAGUUUAUAAAGCAUGCGUUGUGUGUGUGCUUUGCUUGUGUGCGGUGUGUGUGUGUAGUGCAUGUGUGAGGUGUAUGUGUGCAGUGUGUGUGUGUAGUCAAUGUAUGCGAUGUCUGUGUGGGGGGUAUCUGUUUGCGGUGUGUAUAUUUGUACUGUGUGUGUGCUAUUUCUAUGUUUAUACUGUGUGUGGUGUGUUUGUUUGGUGUGUUUGGGUUUAUUGUAUGUGUGAGGUGUGUGUGUGUGUGUGUGUUGUGUUUUUGCGGUGUAUGUGUUUGUUGUAUGUGUGUGGUGUGUUAUUUGGUAUGUGUGUGUAAUGUGUGUGUGUUGUGUGUGUUUGGUGUGUGUAGUGUAAUGUAUGUGUGUGGUGUGUGUGGUGUAUGUGUUUGUAGUGUAUAUGUGUGUUGUGUGUGUUUGGUGAGUUUGAUUUUACUCUAUGUGUGUGAGUAGUGUCUUUUUGUAGUGUAUGUUUGUGGUGUAUGUGUGCGGAGUAUGUGUUUGUUGUUGUAUGUGUGUGGUGUGUUAUUUGUUAUGUGUGUGUAGCGUGUGUGUUUUGUGUGUGUUUGGUGUGUGUAGUGUAAUGUAUGUGUGUGGUGUGUGUGUGCAGUGUGUGUGUUUGUAGUGUAUGUUUGUUGUGUAUGUGUACAGUGUGUUGUGUGUGUUUGGUGAGUUUGUGUUUCCUGUUUGUGUGGUGUAUUUUGUAGUGUAUGUUUGUUUUGUAUGUGUGCAGUGUGCGGAGUGUUUGUGUGCGUUUUGUGCGUGUUUGUAUUGUAUGUGUGCAGUCCAUGUGAUGGUAUUGUAUGUGUGUGGUGUAUGUGUUUGACGUGUGUAGUGUAGUGUAUGUGUAUGGUGUGUGUGUGCAGUGUGUUUCUGUAUUGUAUGUAAGCGGUGUGUAUGUGCGGUGUGUGUGUGCGGUGUGUGUUUUUAGUGUGAGUGGGUGCUGUGUAGGUUUUUGUAGAGUAUUGUGUUGUGUGUGUGUAUAGUGCAUGUUUGUGGUGUAUUUGUGCAGUGUGUGUGUUUUGUGUAUGUAUGCUGUGUGUGUGUAUUUGCGGUGUGUGUUUGUAUUGUGUGUGUGCUGACCAUGUAUUAGUAGUGUAGGUGUGUGUUGUGUGUGUUUGACAUGUGUAGUGUAGUGUAUUUGCGUGGUGUGUGUGUGCAGUUGUUUCUGAAUUGUAUGUAUGCUGUGUUUGUGAGCGGUGUGUGUUUGCAGUGUGUGUCUGCGGGGUGUGUUUGUAGCAUGUUUGUGCGCUGUAGGUUAUUGUAUUGUAUGUGUGUAGUGUAUGUGUUUGGUGUGUUUGUGUUUGCUGGAUGUGUGUAGUGUAUGUGUGUGGUGUGUGUGCGGUGUAUGUGUUUGUAGUGUAUGUGUGUGUUGUUUGCGUUUGGUGAGUUUGUGUUUACUGAAUGUGUGUGAUGUGUGUGUAGUUUAUGUUUGUUGUGUAUGUGUGCAGUGUGUGUGUGUUGUGUAUGUAUGCGGUGUGUGUGUGUGAGGUAUGCGUGUUUGUAUUGUGUCUGUGCAGUCCAUGUGUUAGUGGCGUAUGUGUGUGGUGUGUGUGUUUGACAUGUGUAGUGUAGUGUAUGUGUGUGGUGUGUGUGCAGUGUAUUUGUGAACUGUAUGUAUGUGGUGUGUGUAUGUGCGGUGCAUUGUGUGUGGGGGUGUGUGUGUGUGUGUGUGUGUGUGUGUCUGUAGUAUAUGUGUGUGCGGUGUAGGUUUUUGUAGUGUAUGUGUAUAGUGUGUGUGUUUGGUGUUUGUGUUUACUGUAUGUGUGUGGUGUGUGUGUUUGGUGUGUUUGUGUUUGCUGGAUGUGUCUGGUGUAUGUGUGUGGUGUGUGUGUCGUGUAUGUGUUUGUAGUGUAUGUGUGAGGAAUAGAGGAGGGCAUGUAAGGAGAUGCCUUGACAGACGGAGACAGUACAGGUUUGGAGAGAGGGCUGGCACAGGGGAAAAGUUAGUGAAUCCACUGGGAUGACCCCAACUAAGAAUUUAGGCAGUGGUGGAGAGUUUGCGUUUGGUGCGUUUGUGUUUACUGUAUUGUGUGAUGUGUGUGUAGUGUAUGUUUGUUGUGUAUGUUUGUUGUGUAUGUGUGCGGUGUGUGUGUGUUUUGUAUGUAUGCGGUGGGUGUGUGAGGUAUGCGUGUUUGUAUUGUGUCUGUGCAGUCCAUGUGUUAGUAGUGUAUGUUUGCGGUAUGUGUGUUUGACAUGUGUACUGUAGUUUAUGUGUGUGCUGUGUGUGUGCAUUGUGAUUGUGAAUUGUAUGUAUGCGGUGUGUCUGUGCGGUGCAGUGUGUGUGGGGUGUGUGUGUGCAGUGUGCUUGUGUAUUGUAUGUAUGCGGUGUUUGUGUGCAGUGUGUGUGCGGUGUGUGUGAUUGUAGUAUGUGUGUGCACGGUGUAUGUGUUUGUACUGUAUGUGUGUUUUGUGUUUGGUGUGUUUGUGUUUACUGUAUGUGUGUGGUGUGUGUGUGGUGUAUGUGUGGGGUGUAUGUGUGCAGUGUGUUUGUGGAGUGAAUGUAUGUGGUGUCGGUGUGCGGUAUGUGUGUGCGGUGUAGAUGUUUGUAGUGUGCGUGUGCGGUGUAUGUGUUUAUAGUGUAUGUGUGAGGUUUGUUUUUGGUGUGUUUGUGUGUGUGUUGUGUGUGUGUGUGGUGUGUGUUUGGUGUGUUUGUUUGUAUGUGUGCUGUGUGUGUGUGUGGUGUGUGUGUUUGGUGUGUGUAAUAUAGUGUCUGUGUGUGGUGUGUAUGUGUGUGGGUUAGGUUAAGAGUUAAGACUAAAUUUUGUCUACCAUCUAAAGAUUGUACCUAGGUUGCUUCUGAUACUGGAGGAAUGUUAUACUGGCUAUUCCAUUGCUAUAAAAGUACAAGACCUCAGAGAUUUAUAGCUAUGUUUUCUACAUAUGGUUUCAGCCUUCCUUUCUGUCCUUUCGGUCCAAUGCAAACCACCCAAUUAACACUCUACCAAAAUCUAGAUAAAGUUCCAAUUCCUCAAUGUUGUACAUUCACCUCGCU